GUACUCACUUUGGCAGUAUAUAUACUAAAACUUGAACAACACAACGAAGAUUAGCAUGGCCCCUGUGCAAGGAAGACAUGCAAAUUUGUGAAGCUUUUCAUAUUUUU
Molecule: small nuclear RNA, 107 nt
Organism: Cricetulus griseus (Chinese hamster)
Lineage: Eukaryota; Metazoa; Chordata; Mammalia; Rodentia; Cricetidae
Source: Ensembl